This 412-nucleotide ribosomal RNA is filed under the name Globigerinoides ruber albus. RNAcentral describes it as "partial small subunit ribosomal RNA". It matches the Rfam family "Eukaryotic small subunit ribosomal RNA", at positions 1442 to 1685 of the family's 1831-position model. The record is from RNAcentral. Lineage: Eukaryota; Foraminifera; Rotaliida; Globigerinidae.
AGGUUGCGGCAAUAACAGGUCUGUGAUGCCCUCAGAUGUCCCGGGCUGCACACGUGCUACAAUGAGUGGCGCAAUGUGCUAAUGUUUAAGGGAUAAGAGUGUGGUCAGUAGAACGUCGGGAUUUCCCCUGACGUCUCCCCCGCACGAUUAUCAGCCUUCCCUUAACAGGGCGGGCAACCUUUUCAAAAUACUGGUUUGAUGUUAAAGUAUUGAGUCGUUUUUUUUGGAUGGUGGUUUGUUAACCAAUACCAUCCGGCAACUGCUCGCGAGUUUGUGGUUCUGGCGACUCAUGGUGGGGACCGACGUUUGUAAUUUUUUGUCGCGUGUUAACUAGGAAUGCCUUGUACUGUCGAUUCACUAAGUUACUGGGAAUACGUCCCUGCCCUUUGUACACACCGCCCGUCGCUCUUAC